RNAcentral lists this ribosomal RNA (253 nucleotides) under uncultured bacterium. RNAcentral's name for it is "partial 16S ribosomal RNA". It matches the Rfam family "Bacterial small subunit ribosomal RNA", at positions 524 to 776 of the family's 1533-position model. The record is from RNAcentral.
UACGUAGGCAGCAAGCGUUGUUCGGAGUUACUGGGCGUAAAGAGUGCGUAGGCGGCUUCGUAAGUUUGGUGUGAAAUCUCCCGGCUUAACUGGGAGGGUGCGCCGAAAACUGCGGGGCUGGAGUGUGGGAGAGGCAAGCGGAAUUCCUGGUGUAGCGGUGAAAUGCGUAGAUAUCAGGAGGAACACCGGUGGUGUAGACGGCUUGCUGGACCAUGACUGACGCUGAGGCACGAAAGCGUGGGGAGCAAACAGG